RNAcentral lists this ribosomal RNA (223 nucleotides) under uncultured bacterium. Its description in RNAcentral is "partial 16S ribosomal RNA". It matches the Rfam family "Bacterial small subunit ribosomal RNA", at positions 27 to 236 of the family's 1533-position model. The record is from RNAcentral.
GAUGAAACGCUAGCUACAGGCUUUAACACAUGCAAGUCGAGGGGCAGCGGGGAGGAUGCUUGCAUUCUCCGCCGGCGACCGGCGCACGGGUGCGUAAACGCGUAUCGAAACCUAACCUCAUACUCGGGCAUAGCCUUGCGAAAGUAAGAUUAAAUUCCCGAUGUUCUGUCAAUUUCGCAUGAGAUUGGCAGCAAAAGUUUUUCGGUAUGAGAUGGCGAUGCGU